RNAcentral lists this non-coding RNA (30 nucleotides) under Homo sapiens (human). Lineage: Eukaryota; Metazoa; Chordata; Mammalia; Primates; Hominidae. The record is from RNAcentral.
UCCCAGUGUCUCCUCGUCAGUUCCUUCAUG